This 21-nucleotide non-coding RNA is filed under the name Caenorhabditis elegans. Lineage: Eukaryota; Metazoa; Nematoda; Chromadorea; Rhabditida; Rhabditidae. The record is from RNAcentral.
UCUCGGGAUGUUCGAUUCAAU